GACGAACUCUGGCGGCGUGCUUAACACAUGCAAGUCGAACGGAAAGGCCCUGCUUUUGUGGGGUGCUCGAGUGGCGAACGGGUGAGUAACACGUGAGUAACCUGCCCUUGACUUUGGGAUAACUUCAGGAAACUGGGGCUAAUACCGGAUAGGAGCUCCUGCUGCAUGGUGGGGGUUGGAAAGUUUCGGCGGUUGGGGAUGGACUCGCGGCUUAUCAGCUUGUUGGUGGGGUAGUGGCUUACCAAGGCUUUGACGGGUAGCCGGCCUGAGAGGGUGACCGGCCACAUUGGGACUGAGAUACGGCCCAGACUCCUACGGGAGGCAGCAGUGGGGAAUAUUGCACAAUGGGCGGAAGCCUGAUGCAGCAACGCCGCGUGCGGGAUGACGGCCUUCGGGUUGUAAACCGCUUUCGCCUGUGACGAAGCGUGAGUGACGGUAAUGGGUAAAGAAGCACCGGCUAACUACGUGCCAGCAGCCGCGGUGAUACGUAGGGUGCGAGCGUUGUCCGGAUUUAUUGGGCGUAAAGGGCUCGUAGGUGGUUGAUCGCGUCGGAAGUGUAAUCUUGGGGCUUAACCCUGAGCGUGCUUUCUAUACGGGUUGACUUGAGGAAGGUAGGGGAGAAUGGAAUUCCUGGUGGAGCGGUGGAGUGCGCAGAUAUCAGGAGGAACACCAGUGGCGAAGGCGGUUCUCUGGGCCUUUCCUGACGCUGAGGAGCGAAAGCGUGGGGAGGAGAACAGGCUUAGAUACCCUGGUAGUCCACGCUGUAAACGGUGGGUACUAGGUGUGGGGUCCAUUCCACGGGUUCCGUGCCGUAGCUAACGCUUUAAGUACCCCGCCUGGGGAGUUCGGCCGCAAGGCUAAAACUCAAAGGAAUUGACGGGGCCCCGCACAAGCGGCGGAGCAUGCGGAUUAAUUCGAUGCAACGCGUAGAACCUUACCUGGGUUUGACAUGGAUCGGGAGUGCUCAGAGAUGGGUGUGCCUCUUUUGGGGUCGGUUCACAGGUGGUGCAUGCCUGUCGUCAGCUCGUGUCGUGAGAUGUUGGGUUAAGUCCCGCAACGAGCGCAACCCUUGUUCACUGUUGCCAGCACGUUAUGGUGGGGACUCAGUGGAGACCGCCGGGGUCAACUCGGAGGAAGGUGGGGAUGACGUCAAGUCAUCAUGCCCCUUAUGUCCAGGGCUUCACGCAUGCUACAAUGGCUGGUACAGAGAGUGGCGAGCCUGUGAGGGUGAGCGAAUCUCGGAAAGCCGGUCUCAGUUCGGAUUGGGGUCUGCAACUCGACCUCAUGAAGUCGGAGUCGCUAGUAAUCGCAGAAAAGCAACGCUGCGGUGAAUACGUUCCCGGGGC
RNAcentral lists this ribosomal RNA (1346 nucleotides) under uncultured bacterium. RNAcentral's name for it is "bacterial SSU rRNA". It matches the Rfam family "Bacterial small subunit ribosomal RNA", at positions 28 to 1380 of the family's 1533-position model. The record is from RNAcentral.